Molecule: long non-coding RNA, 289 nt
Organism: Engraulis encrasicolus (European anchovy)
Lineage: Eukaryota; Metazoa; Chordata; Actinopteri; Clupeiformes; Engraulidae
Exons: 3
Source: RefSeq, a predicted model, not a curated record
GAACAAGUUGGCUGCAACCAGCUCGCCUGAUGGGUGCGAUCUUCCCAUGUCGCGCCAUGCCAAGACCGAGUGGGAGGUGUCGCGGUGGUCCAUGUCUGGACACAGGCUUGCUUUGAUUAACAGCGUUUAUUGCUACGUAUUAUGUUCCACACUGGAGCUGAAAUGAACCCUGCCAGAUCCUUCACCCCUGCUAUGUUCAAGAGGAACUUCAUGAACCACUGGGUGUACUGGGUGGGUCCCAUGAUCUGUGGUUCUAUGGGCGCCGUCAUGUAUGACUUCAUGCUCUUCC